AGUAAUGUCUGGGAAACUGCCUGAUGGAGGGGGAUAACUACUGGAAACGGUAGCUAAUACCGCAUAACGUCGCAAGACCAAAGUGGGGGACCUUCGGGCCUCAUGCCAUCAGAUGUGCCCAGAUGGGAUUAGCUAGUAGGUGGGGUAACGGCUCACCUAGGCGACGAUCCCUAGCUGGUCUGAGAGGAUGACCAGCCACACUGGAACUGAGACACGGUCCAG
RNAcentral lists this ribosomal RNA (222 nucleotides) under uncultured bacterium. RNAcentral describes it as "partial 16S ribosomal RNA". It matches the Rfam family "Bacterial small subunit ribosomal RNA", at positions 109 to 334 of the family's 1533-position model. The record is from RNAcentral.